Molecule: ribosomal RNA, 425 nt
Filed under: uncultured bacterium
Lineage: Bacteria
Description: bacterial SSU rRNA
Rfam family: Bacterial small subunit ribosomal RNA
Source: RNAcentral
UCGAGAAUUUUUCACAAUGGGGGAAACCCUGAUGGAGCGACGCCGCGUGGGGGAUGAAUGGCUUCGGCCCGUAAACCCCUGUCAUUUGCGAACAAGUUGGUUCAAUUAAUAACUGAACCAUUGAUAGUAGCGAAAGAGGAAGGGACGGCUAACUCUGUGCCAGCAGCCGCGGUAAUACAGAGGUCCCAAGCGUUGUUCGGAUUCACUGGGCGUAAAGGGUGCGUAGGCGGUCGGGUAAGUCUGAUGUGAAAUCUCACAGCUUAACUGUGAAACUGCAUUGGAUACUAUUCGGCUUGAGAGUUGGAGGGGGGACUGGAAUUCUUGGUGUAGCAGUGAAAUGCGUAGAUAUCAAGAGGAACACCAGUGGCGAAGGCGAGUCCCUGGACAACUUCUGACGCUGAGGCACGAAAGCUAGGGGAGCAAAC